This 868-nucleotide long non-coding RNA is filed under the name Vulpes vulpes (red fox). Its description in RNAcentral is "lncRNA (ENSVVUG00000001455.1)". The record is from RNAcentral. Lineage: Eukaryota; Metazoa; Chordata; Mammalia; Carnivora; Canidae.
UGACAAAUAGCACAUAAGUCACAUCUGCUGGAGUAGGAUUGAAGGUGCCGGAAGCUCCAGAGCACGUGUCAGGGAUGGAUGGUGAAGUUCUUAGCAACUCUGCACACCUUGCCUCAUCUGCCAAAGGAAGAGAGUUAAACCCAGUGAUCUCUGCACACCCUCCAAGCUCCAACCUCAGAUGAACAUAAUAACAAGAGUGGAUGAGAAUCACAGCCAUGUUUAUUGAGGCCCCAAAAGAACCCCCGGAUGAUCACAUUUAGCCCCGCGGCUCUAUGCUGUCCCAGCAGGUAGUAAUAAUUCCAGAUAGUCGGCAGCCAGUGUAAGGUUGCCGAAAUUGCUCUGUGAGUGAAAGUAGCUCCUUUCAGGAAUCUAAAAUGCCUAUCCUGUGAAGAAUGAAGAUAUACCUUCAGUCUUUCAUUGUCUAACUUAGGCUCCUGCUCGAUGACUAUGGCCUAGACUGAUAUAGGCAGCAUGUUCUCCGCAGAUUGUUCCCUCUCUGGUGAGGUGAGACGGACUGCACAUUCAGACAUAGCAUGUGCAUCUGAACCCAUAGCAGAGUCCUGAAGGGAAAAUACAAUUACUUUGUGUGUCAAGGCAACAAUGUGUUGGAACUACUAAAGGAAUUAUAAUUAUGCUUGCUUGUUUCCCCAGAAUCAAACAGAAAGUGAAGGCAGCUUUGUUUAUUUAUUCAGACACACCCAAUGAGGUACUGAAAAUGCUUUCUGAAGCUGUAGGAGGAAUAAAAGCCCUGACCAUAGUGCUUGUGGAUGUGCUGAGGUGUGUUGUGCCUGCCGCUCCCCGACCUGGACCAGCUUCAAGCUACAGGUGUGCUGGCCUUGAACGUGCUGCUGGAAGAUGUGAGGGAUGA